RNAcentral lists this ribosomal RNA (370 nucleotides) under uncultured bacterium. RNAcentral describes it as "bacterial SSU rRNA". It matches the Rfam family "Bacterial small subunit ribosomal RNA", at positions 527 to 896 of the family's 1533-position model. The record is from RNAcentral.
GUGGGGUGCAAGCGUUGUUCGGAAUUACUGGGCGUAAAGCGCGUGUAGGCGGCCUAUUAUGUCAGGUGUGAAAGCCCUCGGCCUAACCGAGGAAGUGCGCCUGAAACUGCUAGGCUUGAGUACGAGAGAGGAGGACGGAAUUCCCAGUGUAGAGGUGAAAUUCGUAGAUAUUGGGAGGAACACCGGUGGCGAAAGCGGUUCUCUGGAUCGAUACUGACGCUGAGACGCGAAAGCGUGGGGAGCAAACAGGAUUAGAUACCCUGGUAGUCCACGCUGUAAACGAUGGAUAUUAGUUGUUGCGAGUUUAACCCUCGCAGUGACGACGCUAACGCAUUAAAUAUCCCGCCUGGGGAUUACGGCCGCAAGGUUA